This 253-nucleotide ribosomal RNA is filed under the name uncultured bacterium. Its description in RNAcentral is "partial 16S ribosomal RNA". It matches the Rfam family "Bacterial small subunit ribosomal RNA", at positions 524 to 776 of the family's 1533-position model. The record is from RNAcentral.
GACGUAGGGCGCGAGCGUUGUCCGGAUUUAUUGGGCGUAAAGAGCUCGUAGGCGGCUUGUCGCGUCGAAUGUGAAAUCUCGGGGCUCAACUUCGAGCUUGCAUUCGAUACGGGCAGGCUAGAGUUCGGUAGGGGAGACUGGAAUUCCUGGUGUAGCGGUGAAAUGCGCAGAUAUCAGGAGGAACACCGGUGGCGAAGGCGGAUCUCUGGGCCUUACCUGACGCUGAGGCGCGAAAGCUAGGGGAGCGAACAGG